AAUGGCAAAUUCCAAAUGCGGCCUUAUGUAAGUGAUGUACACCUUUGAAAUAAAACUGACUGAAGGAUUUGGAAAAACAUGCUUUAGCAAAUAAAACAUUUUACGCGCUCGACCCACUGAUGCUAGACAUUGCUCUGACCAUCCUAACUUAUCAUUUACAAUGACCCCUAGAUCUUUGGUUGAGGUUUUUACACUCAGGAGUGUGCCAUUUAUAUGGUAAAGGUACUUUGGGUUGUUGUGGCCACACUGAAGUACACAGCAUUUUGCAAUAUUUAGUGGUAUUUGCCACUUCUCGCUCCAUUGGAAGAUUAAAUUAAGUUGGUCUUGCAAGUCCGUGACAAGUGGGUUAGCAAAUAACUUAAUAUCAUCCGCAUAUGCUGAAUAGCUGUCCAGUGAAAACAAUAAAUCUGCUGUAUAUAACAAGAAUAAAAUUGGUCCAAGAACUGAUCCCUGUGGGACCCCACUUAAUACUGGUUUAGAGUACGAAAAUUUACCACAGACUUUUACACAAUAGUUUCGAUUUGAUAGAAACGCUCGGAUCCAAUCAAGCAAAUUUCCUGUUACACCAUAGGACUCCAGUUUUGCUAACAAGAGAUUGUGAGGGACUUUAUCAAAGGCUUUACUAAAAUCAAGGUAAAUUAUGUCUACAGGUUGGUUAGUGUCUAACAUUUUUGUCCAUAGAUUUGUGCAGGAUAGCAAAUUUGUGACAACUGACCUACCUGGUAAAAAGCCGUGCUGAUGCUCAGCAUGUCGACGUGAGACUUACAGGUCUAUAGUUAGCAGGAUCAAGUUUAUCUCCUGACUUGUACAAAGGCGUGAUUGUUGCUUGCAACCACUCGUAGGGCAAAGUGCCUUGUAAGAAUGAUUUUGUCAUCAUUUUGGCAAGUGGGCCCGACAACGAAGCAGCACAAGUUCUCAGGAGUUUGGGAGGUAUCUGAUCCGGACCUGGAGCUGUAUUUAAUUUAAUGGCACAGAGUUGGCUUUUUACCAGAUCCGGAGUAAAAUUAAUAUAAGACAACCCACUAAAUGUAGCAGCAAAACUGUCCGCUAAAGUGUUUGCAGUUUCUGUAUGAUCGGAGCAGAGUAGACCUGAAGCAUUUCGUACUAAAGGGACCGACACACGACUAGAGAUAAAUUUACGUACAUGGGAAUAAAAUAGUUUUGGUUUAUUUAAUAUAGAAUUUUCAUAAUUACACCUGGCUAUUUGUAAAUCAGAUUUUAGUUGGUUAGAAAAUCUUUUAUAAGCAGAAAAAUUAUCUUCAGUAGGCUUCCUUUUAAAUUUUUUCCAUAAUUUAGCUUUGUAUUUUAUUUUGUCAAGCAUGUGUUGAUUUAUCCACGGUUUAUCUUUUCUCAGUCGGUUUGUAAACAGUCUGGAAUUUGUUGUAAUGCAAGUUUGUAAAAUCGAUUUAAAAUGUUUCCAUUGUUCUUCCGCAUUUAGUGAAUCUAAACCAUUCCAGUCGUAAGUCAAGAGACUUUCGUCUAUGCGAGUGUAGUCAACAAUUGAUGUUGUUUUAAUUCUUGCAUUUGGCUCUGAAUAUAUCAUAAUUUGUAACUCAAUUUCGAUUUUUGAAUGAUCAGAUGUACCUACAGGAUUCGAAACGUUUAAAGACGAUACAAGGUUAACGUCAGACAAAAUUACCAAAUCAAGUAAUGAAGGACGUUGUUGGGAUCUAAAUCGUGUAGGUUCAGUGACUAUUUGUGACAAAUUAUUCUCCAAGAGCAAUUCAGAAAAUUGUUUUUCGAUGAUUGUUUGACCUGUUGUGUUUUUAGCAGACCAGUCUAUACAUGGAAAAUUGAAAUCUCCCAUGAUAAUUAAGUUAGGAUACUGAUUAAUAGUUGAUUGUAUGGUAUUAAAUAGAUUUUUAUCAUUUUCGUGAUUGUUAAAAGACGCUCCUGUUGGUGGUCUGUAAAUACAUGCUAUAACAAAGG
Molecule: long non-coding RNA, 1929 nt
Organism: Tribolium castaneum (red flour beetle)
Lineage: Eukaryota; Metazoa; Arthropoda; Insecta; Coleoptera; Tenebrionidae
Exons: 3
Source: RefSeq, a predicted model, not a curated record